UUGGAAUUUUGAUAAAUCAUUGUUCGAUCGAUCUUCAAGAUGUGAAGGAUAUUAGAAAAUCUUUCGGCAAUCAAUCUUAGGGGUAUGUAACCUACUUGAAGGUUUUAUUUCCUAAAACUGUGGUAAAUUCAAGUUAGUAAUCGUUAAUGUAAUUUUGUUACAGCUCGUCCCAAAAUGUGCAUAAUUUAGCGUCUUAGAGCCUACCUAAAAUGGCGGCUGCUAAUCUUUUUCCUUCAAUUUAACAUAACUUGCAAAACCUAAUGUAACGUCAACCACCUCUUCGUCUUGCCACGCGGUCUGCAGGCGCCGUCGUUGGUAUAGGAAAUAAUGGACCCGGCAUAAACCCCGGUAAGUCAUUUAAUCGCUUCAUUGCCGUAAUUUAAAUCGCGCUGUGCCUCAGUUUAAAAUAUAAUUUUUCUAUAAAACUAAACGUGUUAAAACAUAAUUUUUUAACCUAGAACAUUUUCUUUGUUCUUAGGGUUUUUUUCUGGACCCUGGUUUUUUCCUGGACCCUGGUUUUUCUGGACCCUGGUUCUCUAAGGCUGUGCCAUCCGGUGGCAGCGUUCUUCUUGGCAGUGUCCGUGAAGUUAAGACUUUUAUGAAUAUACCUUUAGUUAAAUAUGGACUCUUUACGCUGAACAGGUAACCUGUAAUCCCUGUGAGCAAUUGCUUACUGCUAAACAUCCCCGGAGGUUGGGGCAUAACUUUUACUUUAGACAGUGUUAUGUUAGGAAGACAAAUUUUGAUAUUGUUGUCCGUAGACACAGAGAUGUCUAUGAUGUAUUUAGUGUAAAUUUCAAGAAAUAGUGGUGUCACUAAGAAGUAUUUAGUAUUACUUAUUUACUAAUAAAUAACUCGUGUUGACCGUAGCGGGUCAUAUAUAUUUAAGGAAUAAAGGUGUGUAUUAAAUAAA
Long non-coding RNA from Cydia pomonella (codling moth), 913 nucleotides. RefSeq lists it as uncharacterized. Lineage: Eukaryota; Metazoa; Arthropoda; Insecta; Lepidoptera; Tortricidae. The transcript has 2 exons. The record is from RefSeq and is a predicted model, not a curated record.